RNAcentral lists this ribosomal RNA (253 nucleotides) under uncultured bacterium. Its description in RNAcentral is "partial 16S ribosomal RNA". It matches the Rfam family "Bacterial small subunit ribosomal RNA", at positions 524 to 776 of the family's 1533-position model. The record is from RNAcentral.
UACGGAGGGUGCGAGCGUUGUCCGGAAUUACUGGGCGUAAAGCGCGCGCAGGCGGUCUUCCAAGUCAGUGGUGAAAGCCCGGAGCUCAACUCCGGAACUGCCAUUGAAACUGUAAGACUUGAGGACGAGAGAGGUGAGUGGAAUUCCCAGUGUAGAGGUGAAAUUCGUAGAUAUUGGGAAGAACACCGGUGGCGAAGGCGGCUCACUGGCUCGUAUCUGACGCUCAGGCGCGACAGCGUGGGGAUCAAACAGG